GGGGGCGAAAUGGCUUCGACGGGGAUAAAGAAGCUUCGGCUGCAUACCGAGCUUCCUGCCAGCUCGUAAAACCGGUGGGAACCUAAAAUAAUCGCAGACGAUUAUGAAUACGCUUUAGCCGCUUGAGGCUAACGCUCUGCCGGAUUUUCCCUGCAAAUCCUGUGAGAGCGUCGACUAGCAGGGUAACCGGCUCUUAUUUCCUGAUACCGGGUCGGU
Molecule: transfer-messenger RNA, 216 nt
Filed under: Desulfobacterales bacterium
Lineage: Bacteria; Pseudomonadati; Thermodesulfobacteriota; Desulfobacteria; Desulfobacterales
Description: partial transfer-messenger RNA
Rfam family: transfer-messenger RNA
About the family: Bacterial tmRNA, also known as 10Sa RNA or SsrA, is named for its dual tRNA and mRNA-like properties. Its role is to liberate the mRNA from a stalled ribosome. To accomplish this part of the tmRNA is used as a reading frame that ends in a translation stop signal.
Source: RNAcentral